UCUGAUCUUAAGGCUCUAAGUUGGAACCAUUGUUUCAUACCUGAGCCAUUUUGGUCUAGAUUAGCAUUCGGGGACCCUCCCUUAUGGAGCUGUUCCAUAGGAUGUUGAAUCACGAUACUAGGGCGGACCUGUGCCUUAGAGACUAAAACUGAAGAUAGACUUAGUUAACUAUGUUAUAAACUCUUUUCCUGUUUAAGACAAUGUACUACCCUUGUUUAAUAAAUAAAAUGUAACUUUAAUU
This 241-nucleotide long non-coding RNA is filed under the name Helianthus annuus (common sunflower). Its description in RNAcentral is "hypothetical non coding rna". Lineage: Eukaryota; Viridiplantae; Streptophyta; Magnoliopsida; Asterales; Asteraceae. The record is from RNAcentral.